CCUAGUUUAAGCUGUCAAACAAAUGAUAGAAUGGAAAAUGAAAUGUUGAAUAACCCACUAGUAGGGAAGAGAUAUGGAUGGAGUCUCGCUCAAUAAAGAGAGUUGUAGAUUCGUAGAAAAGGAGAAGAGCCUUGACUUUCGAUUUUUUUAGUAAAGCGCUAACGCUGCAAUCUUUCUAAAGUAAGAAGCGCGAAACUUGACUUUGAGAAAGAAGGUGCUUGUUGCCGCUUUAUUAGUAAGUAAGCUUGUUUUAUAUCAUAUCAAUAAAGGUUGCUUUUAUAAAAAAAAAAAAAUGGAAUAUGAAUAUAAGGCGGGCGCGUUAGCGCUUUAGUUUUCAAUAAGGACAUUUAGGCUUUACUAAAGGGCUUUUUUUUUCAGGUUUGGAACCCUAUACAAAACAAAACAAAACAAAGGGCGUUUCCUUUCAAAUGACAACUGCCUCUUCCUGCUGCGAGGGCGUUGCACGAAACCAAACCGCCCCCCACCCGAUCAAGUACCAGUUGCUUCGCUGGUAGGCCCACUUAGGUUAGGGGGCAUUGUCCCUCAGUUCUUACCAACCUCCGGUGUGUAAUCGACAUGUUACUAGCUUCAACUCGGUUGAAUAAGAAUCAUUGAUUCCCUCUGCUGUCCAUUUCUUAUUCAUUCAGGGUGCUCGGCCGGUGCUCCUUUAUCAAACCAGAACAACUCUGAACGUUAGGGAAGCCCACGGAGCGGGAAGACCACCUGAGCGAACCGACCGAAGGGACUUGACUUAUCCGAACCGAACGAUAGCGGCUUAAAGCUAAGCCUAUCACGAGCAGCGUCGCUGCGCGGGGAGGAGCAUUUAAAAGUAUGGGGCAAAGGAUCAAGCGCUUUGACUUUGUCCCCCGGGAUCCACCACAGGUUGGGUUUGAGUG
RNAcentral lists this unclassified non-coding RNA (896 nucleotides) under Hevea brasiliensis (rubber tree). Lineage: Eukaryota; Viridiplantae; Streptophyta; Magnoliopsida; Malpighiales; Euphorbiaceae. The record is from RNAcentral.